UAAAGAAAUUCUGCACUUCCUUGAAAACAUCCUGCUGAACCUCUUCCCAAAAGUGUUGAUAAAAUUGCCCAUUUAGGCCAUCAAGCCUUGGUGCCUUAGUGGAACCCAAUUGGAAAACUGCUGCCUUAACUUCUUCUAGUGUCACCUCAGUUGUUAGAUCAUAGUUUAUUUCUUCUCCAACCAUGAUGUGACAAUUUUCUAGCACUGGAUGAAAAUUACGGGGGUCCUCUGAAGUAUAAAGUAUCUAAAAGAAAUUCACCAUUGAUUGCUUUAAUUGGCUAACAUCUCGUGUCCAUU
RNAcentral lists this long non-coding RNA (297 nucleotides) under Eucalyptus grandis. RNAcentral's name for it is "long non-coding RNA (EGRA_LNC005691)". Lineage: Eukaryota; Viridiplantae; Streptophyta; Magnoliopsida; Myrtales; Myrtaceae. The record is from RNAcentral.